GUGCUCACUUUGGCAGCACCUAUACCAAAAAUUGGAAAUAAACAGAGAUUAGCAUGGUCUCUGCACAAGGAUGACACCCAAAUUCAUGAAGCGUUCCAUAUUUUG
This 105-nucleotide small nuclear RNA is filed under the name Chinchilla lanigera (long-tailed chinchilla). Lineage: Eukaryota; Metazoa; Chordata; Mammalia; Rodentia; Chinchillidae. The record is from RNAcentral.